This 1517-nucleotide long non-coding RNA is filed under the name Ursus americanus (American black bear). RNAcentral's name for it is "lncRNA (ENSUAMG00000025767.1)". The record is from RNAcentral. Lineage: Eukaryota; Metazoa; Chordata; Mammalia; Carnivora; Ursidae.
GUUUCAAUGUCACACUCCAGUGAACACAUGACCUCAGAUGGAUUCUGAGUAACCAUAAUUUUCUGAGUCUGAAGCUGCUUUGAGCCUCUUCCUGAGGGCUGCUUUCCUUUUUCUAGCAUGUUUCAAGUGAGAGAAAUUCUAUUAGCCUGUCUUGACCCUUUGUUGUUCUUUCAUUGGGUCUGUCUGAGUUUCCUGCAGUACCAGGAGUGGAAGACAGAGACACCAUGACUUCUACCAAGAUGCUGCUUCUCUUGCUGUCAAUGGCUUUGGUCGCCCUGUGCUCUGCUCACGGCAUCAGUGAUGAUGAUGAAUUAUUGAAGGAAAAGCCGGAGAAGUCACAAGUCAAACCUCAAGAAGAAAAUGGGCAUCACAAAAACAAAACGGAAGAUAAAGGCCAUGGUCACCCAAACAAGACUCAUGACCAGGGUGUUCACGGACGUCCGGAAAGACCAGGCAGAGGUGGCCCAGGUGGCCCACAUGGCCAAGGUCGUCCAGGUGGCCCACGAGGACCUGGUGGCCCACGAGGACCUGGUGGCCCGCAAGGACCAGGUGGCCAACGUCGUCCACAAGGUGGUCAACAGGGUCCAGGUGGCCCAGGUGGUCCAGGUGGCCCAGCGGAGGAGACACAGGCGCUGCUGUACCCAGGUGGGUUCCAGGUGGCCCACACAGGAACCAGCUGGCCCAGGUGGUCCAGGUGGCCCACAAGGACCAGGUGGCCCAGGUGGUCCAGGGGGCCCACAAGGACCAGCUGGCCCACAAGGACCACCUGGCCAACAAGGACCAGGCGGCCAAGGUGGUCCAGGUGGUCCUGGUGGCCCUGGUGACCAGGGAGACCAGAAGGGAAGCAAUGAGCAGCGUGGUCAACCUGAAGGCCAGUGAUAAAAAACAAAAAAAACCAAGGAAGCCUGCCAGUGAUUCUCUAGGUAUUAAGUGUAUUCUUAUCCACUGAUCUAGUGAAUUUCUAGUUUUCAGUUUCCUCAUUCUCUCCUAUUUCUGUUCUCUGGUCUCAUUUAAGCCUUGGCUUUAAUCACUCCUAAACUUCUUGUCCUUGUGAUUCUCCUUGCAUCAGCCUUCCCCAUAGAAAAGUCUGCUCCAUUAUCAAGGCCAGUGUUCUUUCCACCCUGAGCUUUCCCUUUCUUUCUUUUCUUUUCUUUUUUCUUUUUUUCUUGGCUCCCUCAUUCUUAUAUUAGCCUACAGCCUUCCCAAUUUCUACCUCCCCAAGCCUUUCCUCUCCUCUCCUCUCUUCCCUUCUCUUUACUCUCUCUUGGCCUCCUCCUCUCACAUCUGCUGCCUCUUCUCUCUCUCUUAACAUGAUGUUUUAUGAUGUCUUCUGCUACCUACUAGUAAAAAUACAGACAGAGAUCAUGUCCAAGCCCAAUUAAUAUUUCUGCCUUAAAUUUUUCUCUUUGUUUAGAAAUGGAUAGAGAUCAACUGGUGACCAUGGAGUUUUCAGUGGUGGAAAUUUGGCCUUUGAUUUCUCUGACAUCAAAUCAUCAAUAAAGUCAUCAGCAUUAAAG